UACGUAGGGGGCAAGCGUUGUCCGGAAUCAUUGGGCGUAAAGAGCGUGUAGGCGGCCAGAAAAGUCCGCUGUGAAAACUCGAGGCUCAACUUCGAGCUGUCGGUGGAAACUUUCUGGCUAGAGUCCGGAAGAGGAGAAUGGAAUUCCUGGUGUAGCGGUGAAAUGCGCAGAUAUCAGGAAGAACACCCGUGGCGAAGGCGCACACCUGGCCCGAUACUGACGCUGAGGCGCGAAAGCUAGGGGAGCAAACGGG
Molecule: ribosomal RNA, 253 nt
Filed under: uncultured bacterium
Lineage: Bacteria
Description: partial 16S ribosomal RNA
Rfam family: Bacterial small subunit ribosomal RNA
Source: RNAcentral